AGCUUUAUGAUAAUUAUAUAAAGUAAUUCCUGCUCAGUGUACAUAAACAGCCGCAGAAUUUUAUACUGUGCUAAGGUAGCAUAAUCACUUGUCUUUUAAUUAAAGAAUAGAAUGAACGGAAAAACGAAUUUUAGUCUGUUUUAUUUAUUUCUAAUAAAAUUACCAAAAAGUAAAAACACUUUUUUCAAAAAAAAAGACGAUAAGACCCUAAAGAACUUUUAACUAUAGUUAAGCUGGGGCGGCUUUUUAAAAAAAUCUUAAUUUAAAUUAAUUUUACCUUACUAAAUUUUCAAUGUUACCUUAGGGAUAACAGCAUAAUUUAAUUUUAUAGCUCUUAUUCAAAAUUAAGAUUAUGACCUCGAUGUUGAAUUAAAAAUCUGCUAAACGAAAAAAAUUAGCAAGAAAGUCUGUUCGACUUUUAAAUAUUUACA
Molecule: ribosomal RNA, 431 nt
Filed under: Dysdera propinqua
Lineage: Eukaryota; Metazoa; Arthropoda; Arachnida; Araneae; Dysderidae
Description: partial 16S ribosomal RNA
Rfam family: Bacterial large subunit ribosomal RNA
Source: RNAcentral